Long non-coding RNA from Prionailurus viverrinus (fishing cat), 223 nucleotides. RefSeq lists it as uncharacterized. The record is from RefSeq and is a predicted model, not a curated record. The transcript is spliced from 3 exons. Lineage: Eukaryota; Metazoa; Chordata; Mammalia; Carnivora; Felidae.
GAGAUUCUGUGUCGAUAUAAUCUUCAGGGCUAAAAUUAAGAAGCCGGCAGCAAUGAAUGAAUGAAAGGUAAACUAUACUAUACUGCCCUAUGACUUCAAGCUUGGCCAUGUGACUUGAUCUGGACAAUGGAACCUCCCCAUGAAAUACAACAAGUUUCAGCUGCAUAUCACAUGCCCAUUGCCUCACCUCCAAUUCUUUGAGGUAGUUAACGGUUGUUUCUUG